Non-coding RNA from Schizosaccharomyces pombe (fission yeast), 780 nucleotides. The record is from the annotation of a GenBank genome assembly. NCBI's taxonomy places the organism in Eukaryota, Fungi, Ascomycota, Schizosaccharomycetes, Schizosaccharomycetales, Schizosaccharomycetaceae.
AUACCCCCUUCUAAGAAUUGCUUCUCUUUUUCUUUAUUUAUUUAUUUUCACCUUGAAUCCUUUACUCGAUUUCCCACUGCUGUACCAAUAUUCCUCUCCUCGUCCAAACAACUAGAUCUUUAUGGAAGUUACUACUGGGAAGCGAAUAUUACUAAGACAUUACAAAAAUGUGUGUACUAUUUUACGGUCGAAUUGGUCGACACAAAGAAAUGGUAAAACGCGACCGACCUACUAAUUAAUUCUAAAAAAAAUCAUCAAAUUAACAAUUGGUAUUUGUUUGAUCAUAACGAUGUAUAUGAAAUGUCAUAAAGUACUUGAGUGUAGAAACGCAUGCGUGCGACGAGUGACGAGCUCAACUAUAAGCAAUUGAUAUGGAGGCGAAACUUUCUGUAAGGAGAGAAAUCUAAUCCUUCUUCAUAGUAUGCAUCUCUUGGUCAGGCUCAAAAUGUUGAAUUUCAGGAUGAGCAGACAAAGCAUCUACUGCAUUCUCAGGAAGAGAAACGCUGAAUCCCUUAAAUACGGUAUCAUAAGUAUGACCAAUUUUAGCACCAGAUGCCUCUAAAUCAGAUUUUAUUUUAUCCAUCGAUGCAGGAUCAACAGAAUCUUUCAAUUGAACGAUAUACGACUUUUGACUCAUGGCGAAAUAACGAAGGCGAAAAAAACAAGGAAAGUAGCGUUUCAGAUUUUUUAGCUGUACUUAAAAUUCACUUAAUUGUCAAAAAAUGAACAAGCUUAUGUAGUACAGAUAAGAAGGAAUUGAGCGCAAAGGGGAAAAGGCUG